This 632-nucleotide ribosomal RNA is filed under the name Donghicola sp. S153. RNAcentral's name for it is "bacterial SSU rRNA". It matches the Rfam family "Bacterial small subunit ribosomal RNA", at positions 87 to 754 of the family's 1533-position model. Lineage: Bacteria; Pseudomonadati; Pseudomonadota; Alphaproteobacteria; Rhodobacterales; Roseobacteraceae. The record is from RNAcentral.
CGGGUCUAGCGGCGGACGGGUUAGUAACGCGUGGGAACGUGCCCUUUACUACGGAAUAGUCCCGGGAAACUGGGUUUAAUACCGUAUACGCCCUUCGGGGGAAAGAUUUAUCGGUAAAGGAUCGGCCCGCGUUAGAUUAGAUAGUUGGUGGGGUAAUGGCCUACCAAGUCUACGAUCUAUAGCUGGUUUGAGAGGAUGAUCAGCAACACUGGGACUGAGACACGGCCCAGACUCCUACGGGAGGCAGCAGUGGGGAAUCUUGGACAAUGGGCGCAAGCCUGAUCCAGCCAUGCCGCGUGAGUGACGAAGGCCUUAGGGUCGUAAAGCUCUUUCGCCAGGGAUGAUAAUGACAGUACCUGGUAAAGAAACCCCGGCUAACUCCGUGCCAGCAGCCGCGGUAAUACGGAGGGGGUUAGCGUUGUUCGGAAUUACUGGGCGUAAAGCGCACGUAGGCGGACUGGAAAGUUGGGGGUGAAAUCCCGGGGCUCAACCUCGGAACUGCCUCCAAAACUACUAGUCUAGAGUUCGAGAGAGGUGAGUGGAAUUCCGAGUGUAGAGGUGAAAUUCGUAGAUAUUCGGAGGAACACCAGUGGCGAAGGCGGCUCACUGGCUCGAUACUGACGCUGAGGUGC